Long non-coding RNA from Melospiza melodia melodia, 492 nucleotides. RefSeq lists it as uncharacterized. The transcript is spliced from 2 exons. The record is from RefSeq and is a predicted model, not a curated record. Lineage: Eukaryota; Metazoa; Chordata; Aves; Passeriformes; Passerellidae.
GAGAGGGCGCGGAAAAAGGAAUUAAAGGCGGGAUUAAAGCAGAAGUUAAAGGAGAAAUUAAAAAUUAUGAGGCAAAGCUGGCCGUGAGCCGGUGUGGCCGCCCGGCACGGCUGCUAUGAGCGGCUGGUGAUGCGUCCAUCCUCCGCACUGGGUCUGUGGAAUUUGGGAAUGGGAUGAAGCUGGAGCUGCCAUGUCAGGAGUGAUGUCCUGACCUGGCCUGAACCAAAAGUGCACAAAACGAUGCAGAAACUUGCACUGGAGAUGGAGAAGAAAUUUCCCCCCUUUGCAUGGCCACCCACUGUUAGAUCUGAAACUUUGUCAGGCUCUGCCCCAGUCCUAUGAGUGAGGAGAGAAAUUUUUUAAACUUUAUCCAUUUUCACUGUGGUUGUGAAGUUCUGGCUGAUCAAGCCCUUUCUUGCUUCAGAAAUGCUUUCAGCAUGACUGUUUAAAGCACUCUGAGGGGAAAGUGUUUUAAUAAAUUGAAAAUGCAAA